CUGGGGAUGUGGCUCAGUGUCAGAGUGCUUGCCUGGUAUAUGCAAGACCCUGAGUUCAACCCUCAGUUCUUGGG
RNAcentral lists this transfer RNA (74 nucleotides) under Marmota monax (woodchuck). RNAcentral's name for it is "tRNA.Thr". Lineage: Eukaryota; Metazoa; Chordata; Mammalia; Rodentia; Sciuridae. The record is from RNAcentral.